GGAAAUUUUUUAGUGUUCUUCAAGUUUUGUGAAUCCAGAUGUCUAUUUCCCUCCCAAGAUUUGGGGUGUUUUCAGCCAUUAUUUACUUAAAUAUGUUUUCUGUCACCUCUCUCUUUCUCUCUAUUUUCCUACCAAGACUACCAUUGUGUAUAUAUUUGUUUACCUGAUGGUGUUCCAUAAAUCUCAUAGGUUUUCUUUACUCUUUUUCAUUCCUUUUUUCUAUUUUCUUCUAUGAUUGGAUAAUUUCAAAUGAUCUGUCUUCCAGUUUGCAGAUUUCUGCUUGAUUAAGUGUUGGGGAAACCAGCCCCACACUACCCAGCGGGUACUCCGAGUCCGGCAGAGACAAAGGAGUUAGAAAGAGACAGAAUAAGCGUUUUAAAGGGAGACACACGUUGUUCUCUCAAUGGACAAGGAUCUUCUUCAACCCCUGCAUCCCCCACAUAGUGGCACAAAGGAAAUAUUUGUUGAAUGAAUGAGGAGCAGACAACGAGGAGCUUGGGACAUCUGAGAAUGGCACCUAGCAUGGAAAAUAAGACCAAAACAAAACAGAAAAAUGUAGUGAAGCUGCUGCCAUUCUACAUUUGCCCCGGAUGGAACUCCGUGAUACCACCUCGCUUCACGAUAUUUCACAUUGCCUGAUGGAACCCAAAGAAACCAGCUUUAUUUCUGUGCCAUUUCUCAGUGAUUAAACUUCAAACUUCAAAACCAAGA
This 711-nucleotide long non-coding RNA is filed under the name Homo sapiens (human). RNAcentral describes it as "HSALNT0130131". The record is from RNAcentral. Lineage: Eukaryota; Metazoa; Chordata; Mammalia; Primates; Hominidae.